Molecule: ribosomal RNA, 836 nt
Filed under: Halorubrum sp. CHC-U
Lineage: Archaea; Methanobacteriati; Methanobacteriota; Halobacteria; Halobacteriales; Haloferacaceae
Description: bacterial SSU rRNA
Rfam family: Archaeal small subunit ribosomal RNA
Source: RNAcentral
GGAUCCGAUUUAGCCAUGCUAGUCGCACGAGUUCAGACUCGUGGCGAAUAGCUCAGUAACACGUGGCCAAACUACCCUUCGGAACACAAUACCCUCGGGAAACUGAGGCUAAUAGUGUAUACCAUACCACCACUGGAAUGAGUGGUAUGCCAAACGCUCCGGCGCCGAAGGAUGUGGCUGCGGCCGAUUAGGUAGACGGUGGGGUAACGGCCCACCGUGCCAAUAAUCGGUAUGGGUCAUGAGAGUGAGAACCCAGAGACGGAAUCUGAGACAAGAUUCCGGGCCCUACGGGGCGCAGCAGGCGCGAAACCUUUACACUGCACGACAGUGCGAUAGGGGGAUCCCAAGUGCACAGGCAUAGCGCCUGUGCUUUUCGGUACCCUAAGGCGGUACCAGAAUAAGGGCUGGGCAAGACCGGUGCCAGCCGCCGCGGUAAUACCGGCAGCCCAAGUGAUGGCCGAUCUUAUUGGGCCUAAAGCGUCCGUAGCUGGCCGCGCAAGUCCAUCGGGAAAUCCACCUGCUCAACAGGUGGGCGCCCGGUAGAAACUGCGUGGCUUGGGACCGGAAGGCGCGACGGGUACGUCCGGGGUAGGAGUGAAAUCCCGUAAUCCUGGACGGACCGCCGAUGGCGAAAGCACGUCGCGAGAACGGAUCCGACAGUGAGGGACGAAAGCCAGGGUCUCGAACCGGAUUAGAUACCCGGGUAGUCCUGGCCGUAAACAAUGUCUGCUAGGUGUGGCUCCCACUACGAGUGGGUGCUGUGCCGUAGGGAAGCCGCUAAGCAGACCGCCUGGGAAGUACGUCCGCAAGGAUGAAACUUAAAGGAAUUGGCGGGA